This 510-nucleotide ribosomal RNA is filed under the name uncultured bacterium. RNAcentral's name for it is "partial 16S ribosomal RNA". It matches the Rfam family "Bacterial small subunit ribosomal RNA", at positions 28 to 507 of the family's 1533-position model. The record is from RNAcentral.
GACGAACGCUGGCGGCGUGCUUAACACAUGCAAGUCGAACGAAGAGCGAUGGAAGCUUGCUUCUAUCAAUCUUAGUGGCGAACGGGUGAGUAACGCGUAAUCAACCUGCCCUUCAGAGGGGGACAACAGUUGGAAACGACUGCUAAUACCGCAUACGAUCUGACCUCGGCAUCGAGGAUAGAUGAAAGGUGGCCUCUAUUUAUAAGCUAUCACUGAAGGAGGGGAUUGCGUCUGAUUAGCUAGUUGGAGGGGUAACGGCCCACCAAGGCGAUGAUCAGUAGCCGGUCUGAGACGAUGAACGGCCACAUUGGGACUGAGACACGGCCCAGACUCCUACGGGAGGCAGCAGUGGGGAAUCUUCCGCAAUGGACGAAAGUCUGACGGAGCAACGCCGCGUGAGUGAUGACGGCCUUCGGGUUGUAAAGCUCUGUUAAUCGGGACGAAAGGCCUUCUUGCGAAUAGUUAGAAGGAUUGACGGUACCGGAAGAGAAAGCCACGGCUAACUACGUG